Molecule: ribosomal RNA, 497 nt
Filed under: uncultured bacterium
Lineage: Bacteria
Description: partial 16S ribosomal RNA
Rfam family: Bacterial small subunit ribosomal RNA
Source: RNAcentral
GACGAACGCUGGCGGCGUGCCUAAUACAUGCAAGUUGAGCGAUGAAGAUUGGUGCUUGCACCAAUUUGAAGAGCAGCGAACGGGUGAGUAACGCGUGGGUAAUCUGCCUUUGAGCGGGGGACAACAUUUGGAAACGAAUGCUAAUACCGCAUAAUAACUUUAAACAUAAGUUUUAAGUUUGAAAGAUGCAAUUGCAUCACUCAAAGAUGAUCCCGCGUUGUAUUAGCUAGUUGGUGAGGUAAAGGCUCACCAAGGCGAUGAUACAUAGCCGACCUGAGAGGGUGAUCGGCCACAUUGGGAAUGAGACAAGGCCCAAACUCCUAAGGGAGGCAGCAGGAGGGAAUCUUCGGAAAUGGACGAAAGUCUGACCGCGCAACGCCGCGGGAGUGAAGAAGGUUUUCGGAUCGUAAAACUCUGUUGGUAGAGAAGAACGUUGGUGAGAGUGGAAAGCUCAUCAAGUGACGGUAACUACCCAGAAAGGGACGGCUAACUACGUG